GGGGAACGAUAACGGCGUCGAGCGGCGGACGGGUGAGUAAUGCCUAGGAAAUUGCCCUGAUGUGGGGGAUAACCAUUGGAAACGAUGGCUAAUACCGCAUGAUGCCUACGGGCCAAAGAGGGGGACCUUCGGGCCUCUCGCGUCAGGAUAUGCCUAGGUGGGAUUAGCUAGUUGGUGAGGUAAGGGCUCACCAAGGCGACGAUCCCUAGCUGGUCUGAGAGGAUGAUCAGCCACACUGGAACUGAGACACGGUCCAGACUCCUACGGGAGGCAGCAGUGGGGAAUAUUGCACAAUGGGCGCAAGCCUGAUGCAGCCAUGCCGCGUGUAUGAAGAAGGCCUUCGGGUUGUAAAGUACUUUCAGUCGUGAGGAAGGCGUCGUCGUUAAUAGCGGCGUUGUUUGACGUUAGCGACAGAAGAAGCACCGGCUAACUCCGUGCCAGCAGCCGCGGUAAUACGGAGGGUGCGAGCGUUAAUCGGAAUUACUGGGCGUAAAGCGCAUGCAGGUGGUUUGUUAAGUCAGAUGUGAAAGCCCGGGGCUCAACCUCGGAAUAGCAUUUGAAACUGGCAGACUAGAGUACUGUAGAGGGGGGUAGAAUUU
RNAcentral lists this ribosomal RNA (599 nucleotides) under Vibrio antiquarius. RNAcentral's name for it is "bacterial SSU rRNA". It matches the Rfam family "Bacterial small subunit ribosomal RNA", at positions 69 to 669 of the family's 1533-position model. The record is from RNAcentral. Lineage: Bacteria; Pseudomonadati; Pseudomonadota; Gammaproteobacteria; Vibrionales; Vibrionaceae.